RNAcentral lists this ribosomal RNA (1637 nucleotides) under Triticum aestivum (bread wheat). RNAcentral describes it as "partial small subunit ribosomal RNA". The record is from RNAcentral. Lineage: Eukaryota; Viridiplantae; Streptophyta; Magnoliopsida; Poales; Poaceae.
CAGUAGUGCACAGGACGCUGCGCUGCGGAAUAGAAGGAGGGGGAGCAAGGGGUGGCGACUUUAGAAUAGGAGAGCUGGAAAGCGGGGCAAAGAAGGAGAAAAGGGGGAGGGAGAGUGAAAGGAGAAGAAGUAAGCGAUCCGUUGACACAGCUGCCCUCUGCUACGUGUCGUCACACAGAACGAUGCUCUUCGAAGACAGCAGGCCCGCGCGAGGCUACGACGGCCUCCUCCGCGACAGCACGAGCGGACGCGCGCGUUCGACGCCCAAAAAACGUUCCGUCCCCGAGCGACGAAGAUCGGGCGUGCUCGACCGAGGUUCCCGGUCCGCGAUGUUGAACUCCUCGAGCUUCGGCUGAUGGACAACACCGAGAGGCCUCAAUGAGUACGCUGCACCCUUCCUUCAGCGGUACCUUGUUGGGGCGGCGGAACCUCGAGCGGGGCGGAGGCCGGGUGGUGGAGAGGCAGCCGGAGCACGAGGAGGCGGAGCUAGGCAGGCGGGGCGGCGACCUAGGUGCAGCCUAGUCGGCAUAGGCGGCGGGUCUGGUGGUUGGUUCUCAGCGUAGAACGCACAGCACGCCGGCCCUCCUCCUGCUGGCUCUCCUCGCGGGUAAGUAGGCGGCGGAACCUCGAGCGGGAGGGAAGCCCGGCGGUGGAGAGGCAGCCGGAGCUAGGCAGGCGGGGCGGCGGGUCUGGUGGUUGGUUCGCCGCGGAGAACGGACAGGACACCAGCGUCAGACAUGACGCAGACACUCAACGAACGAAGAGGGCCCUGGCUCGAGGUUAGCUGGCCAGCCUAGGGGGUCCGGUCGUCUAGGUUGCCGACGGGAAGGGGCGGAGGCCGGACGUGUAUGUAUUCGAGUCGCGGCGGCGGAGGGAGAGGAUGGCCACGCGCUUUAGAUCUAUCGAUCGUUGCAACGCCGGAGGAGGUCAUGAGGAGAGGAAGUUGGUCGUUUUCGGUACCGCUGGCUCGGCCGCAUGUGCGACGGCUAUUUCAGGCCGUUCCGCCCGAAGCUCCCGAGCGUCCUACACGACGUGUCCCAGGCGUAGUGGGAGAGGAGGUGCUCGCAGUUCUUGUAGCUCUUCCACACGAGGCUUGACCACUUCGCGCGGUUCCUCGUCGGCGAGUCCCAGUCCCCCGGGCAGUCCUACGGGUGGUUCCACGAGUUGUAGUGGUGGUCCUUCUGGGGGACACCUCUUCCAUGGUUGUGGACCCUAGCCAAACUCUACGCCCACGUGUUCUCCCACUAGCUGUAGUAGUCGAGGGGUCUGUAGUAGUUCGCCUAGUGGAGGUAGUGGGAGCUCGGGCCGCAGCUCCAGCUCCACUGGUAGUCGGUCAUCAGUUGGGAGUACGAUGGGAUGGUGUUGUCGCGGUAGAAAUUAGACAACAAUGUUACCCACCUCUCUGUGGUCACUUGGUUCUGCAAAAGAAACUCUGAAAAAUCAUACUCUUCAUCAAAAACAUACCGAUCCAAAAACAAUAGUACUAAGUAUCAUGGAUAUGAUAACUAAUUCAAUAGCAGAACCUAAAACACAUAAAGGCAUCUCACGUGCAGCAAUAAAGUCGUAGAGGUCUUAAACCAUCGCAAGAACAAACCUACAGUGAAAACUUUAAAAGGUAAAAAGUAAAAUCCUAUAGA